Molecule: long non-coding RNA, 406 nt
Organism: Oreochromis niloticus (Nile tilapia)
Lineage: Eukaryota; Metazoa; Chordata; Actinopteri; Cichliformes; Cichlidae
Exons: 3
Source: RefSeq, a predicted model, not a curated record
AAUACCCAGACAGGAGCUGGUGAUAAGGAAUGUACACACUCUCCUCAGUACACAACAUCUCAUUUGAGCAGAGGAAAUUGGAACGAAGAGGAGAAAGGAGAAGUGCGCAGAGAGGUGAGGAGGACAGCAGAUGAGGAGUAAAAAGAGUGGACGGAAGAGUGGAGGACAGCAACGGUGAAUGAAUGUUUGCAGGAGCAGAGAUAAGCCUGGUCCACCUCGCGCAAAGGCAAAGCUGUCAUGGAAUGGGCUAGAAAACUGAGCAGUGAUGACAGACGAUUUCUUGUCACCCCUCGUCAUCAAUCAUCAAUCCAUCUGUGCUUCACCUAUCCCAGCUGUGAUAGGGAAAAGGUUAACCUGUCCAGGUGUCCACUUGCUUAAUGAGAGCUGGGAAAAGCUCCAACCACAC